GACGAACGCUGGCGGCGUGCUUAACACAUGCAAGUCGAACGGAAAGGCCCUGCUUUUGUGGGGUGCUCGAGUGGCGAACGGGUGAGUAACACGUGAGUAACCUGCCCUUGACUUUGGGAUAACUUCAGGAAACUGGGGCUAAUACCGGCUAGGAGCUCCUGCUGCAUGGUGGGGGUUGGAAAGUUUCGGCGGUUGGGGAUGGACUCGCGGCUUAUCAGCUUGUUGGUGGGGUAGUGGCUUACCAAGGCUUUGACGGGUAGCCGGCCUGAGAGGGUGACCGGCCACAUUGGGACUGAGAUACGGCCCAGACUCCUACGGGAGGCAGCAGUGGGGAGUAUUGCACAGUGGGCGGAAGCCUGAUGCAGCAACGCCGCGUGCGGGAUGACGGCCUUCGUGUUGUAAACCGCUGUCGCCUGUGACGAAGCGUGAGUGACGGUAAUGGGUAAAGAAGCACCGGCUAACUACGUG
RNAcentral lists this ribosomal RNA (468 nucleotides) under uncultured bacterium. RNAcentral's name for it is "partial 16S ribosomal RNA". It matches the Rfam family "Bacterial small subunit ribosomal RNA", at positions 28 to 507 of the family's 1533-position model. The record is from RNAcentral.